This 461-nucleotide ribosomal RNA is filed under the name uncultured bacterium. RNAcentral describes it as "bacterial SSU rRNA". It matches the Rfam family "Bacterial small subunit ribosomal RNA", at positions 33 to 507 of the family's 1533-position model. The record is from RNAcentral.
ACGCUGGCGGCGUGCUUAACACAUGCAAGUCGAACGGUGACCCAGGGCUUGCCCUGGUGAUCAGUGGCAAACGGGUGAGUAACACGUGGGCAACCUGCCCCUGACUUCGGGAUAACUCCUCGAAAGAGGAGCUAAUACCGGAUACGACCACUUCGGACAUCCGAUGGUGGUGGAAAGUUUUUCGGUCAGGGAUGGGCCCGCGGCCUAUCAGCUAGUUGGUGGGGUAAUGGCCUACCAAGGCGACGACGGGUAGCCGGCCUGAGAGGGCGACCGGCCACACUGGGACUGAGACACGGCCCAGACUCCUACGGGAGGCAGCAGUGGGGAAUAUUGCGCAAUGGGCGAAAGCCUGACGCAGCGACGCCGCGUGAGGGAUGAAGGCCUUCGGGUUGUAAACCUCUUUCAGCAGGGACGAAGCGAAAGUGACGGUACCUGCAGAAGAAGCACCGGCUAACUACGUG